AUGGACAUGAUGGCCCCUGCUCAGCUGCUUGGGCUUCUGCUGCUCUGUCUUCCAGGUGCCAGAUGUGACAUCCAGAUGACCCAGUCUCCAACUUCCCUGUCUGCAUCUCUGGGUGACAGAGUCACCAUCACUUGCAGGGCCAGUCAGGGCAUUAGCAAUUAUUUAAGCUGGUACCAGCAAAAACCAGGAAAAUCUCCUAAGCGCCUGAUUUACGGUGCAUCCAACUUGGCAGACAGUGUCCCAUCAAGGUUCAGUGGCAGUGGGUCUGGGACAGAUUAUUCUCUCAGCAUCAGCAGCCUGGGUUCUGAAGACAGUGCAACCUAUUACUGUCUACAGUCUGUUCAGUAUCCUCCCACGGUGAUACAAGCCAUAACAUAA
This is a non-coding RNA of Peromyscus californicus insignis, 378 nucleotides long. The record is from the annotation of a RefSeq genome assembly. Lineage: Eukaryota; Metazoa; Chordata; Mammalia; Rodentia; Cricetidae.